GUCUAAGGCCAUAGCACCCUGAACGCGCCCUAUCUCAUUUGAUCUCGGAAGCUAAGCAGGGUCGGGCCUGGUUAGUACUUGGGUGGGAGACCACCUGGGCAUACCGGGUGCUGUAGGCU
This 119-nucleotide ribosomal RNA is filed under the name Bison bison bison. Lineage: Eukaryota; Metazoa; Chordata; Mammalia; Artiodactyla; Bovidae. The record is from RNAcentral.